GUUGAUUCCAGACCCUCAUUGUUGUUUAUUUUUUAGAAAUGCUAUGCCGUGAUAAAAUUUCCUGAGGAUAACACUGUUGACGUUGUGCCUUCUACAUGGCUCGAAAUAACAAGCAAGGCUGUAUAUUGCUAUUGGCCGCGUAAAAACUUAACUGCCAAGGUGAAGCGAAGAGAUGCACCUGAUACUACACUCUGGUCGAAGCAUGUUGCGUCCAUUCUAGUUUAUGCAGACAGCUACGAAGAAGCCAGGUGCAAAGCAAAUCAGGCAACCAUAACUUCAAACUUGGAGAGUGAGGAUGAAGAUUCGAUUCGUAGAAAAAUAAGACCCCC
Xyrauchen texanus (razorback sucker) is the source of this 329-nucleotide long non-coding RNA. RefSeq lists it as uncharacterized. The record is from RefSeq and is a predicted model, not a curated record. NCBI's taxonomy places the organism in Eukaryota, Metazoa, Chordata, Actinopteri, Cypriniformes, Catostomidae. The transcript has 3 exons.